Molecule: long non-coding RNA, 734 nt
Organism: Cynara cardunculus var. scolymus (artichoke)
Lineage: Eukaryota; Viridiplantae; Streptophyta; Magnoliopsida; Asterales; Asteraceae
Exons: 2
Source: RefSeq, a predicted model, not a curated record
GGAUGUUCAAAAUUCGAGUUAGGCCAUAGAACGUUUUCCCUCAUCGUCGUCCUCGACGCACCAAAUAGACCACUGGCCGUCGCCACAUAAGUACCAAAUCGACCACCACGACUACCGUGAUCGUGAUGGCUAGGUUCCACCACCAAAUCGAUUGUCACUGACGCUACCUUUUCUGCGGGGGCCAUUCAAUCGAUUGCGACCAGAAUUGUUAUUCCAAUUGCUUGAUGAACCACUACCAAUACCAUCAACUGGACUAAACCGAAAGAAACACUAGGAAGCUUCGCUCCCCACUUUCCGACAAAUCUGGCAAAUCACCGAAUGUUGCAACUCAUUUUUCCGACCAAAAUGAGGCGGUGGUACCUUCUGAUCAAGGUCCAAAUGGCCAAAUGUAUACGAUUUACAGAGAGCAGGGAAGUAAGCACGACGCCGAGGUGUCGCCAAGAACAAUAAUACUCCAUUAUAGCCAUGGAACCGGUAUGAAGAUGUUCCAAACUUCUGACAGAUCUGGUGAAGGAAGGGCAGUAUGUUACCCUUAUUCAAAUGGAGUGCUGCCCAAUCGAUGAUCAACUGUUGACCAUGCUUACAUAUAUGGUAACUUUCUCUACCCCUCUUUCAGUAGCUUAAUGGCUUGCCUAAAUGGAGAUUGUACAAUCUAUGAAUUCAUCUCUAUGUGCAGAAUUUCUAUAACUGUUUCAUUGGGUAUCUUCUAAUCUAGAUUUGCCUGUUUUAAUAGA